Molecule: long non-coding RNA, 1071 nt
Filed under: Heterocephalus glaber (naked mole-rat)
Lineage: Eukaryota; Metazoa; Chordata; Mammalia; Rodentia; Bathyergidae
Description: lncRNA (ENSHGLG00100041768.1)
Source: RNAcentral
GAUACUUUUGUCACUGCAAUCUGGCGCCCAGGCCACCGUCCCAAGCCAGCAUGACUCCCGCCUCCUGGAAUUCCAUUCAUCUCUUUAGGAAAGGACGUCAGCAGCCUCUACUUUCCCUGGUGAGGUCGUGUCAGGGAUGGCGGGAGAGACCAGGAUGCAGUUAGAAGCAUCACCAAAUAAGGAUCUCGGCACAGGCAGUGUGGGGGAGGUGGGGAAUCCAGGGUUCACCUCCCUUCUCUUCAGUUACACCUGGCAGGACUUCUAAAUGCUGGAAACAUCCAGGAGCUUACAUUCAUCAAACAGUAAUUUCACUCUUCUUGCGUUAGGAGUGUUGUGUGACCAUGGGGGUGCUGGUGGAGUGUUUUCUAGUUACUCAAUAUACACAUCAGUGUUUCCAGCAGAUAAGCACGUUCCUAGGACACAAGUUCCUUGGAUUUCAGAUGUUGAGAGGCAAGAGCAAAGGGUUCUACCGGAUGAUUAAGACAAAUCAGAUUCCUGUCCUGGAAGUCAUAGGCGCUUAUUCAUCCACACAGAUCUGCAGAUUUCGGUACCUACUUCUCCAGAAUCUACUUUGCUCAUGAAAGGAUGUGGAGCAAUACAGUAUUUUUGGAAAUAAUAGAAGAUUUCUUGGAAGUGUGGACUACAACUUGUUGGAAUGUUCCUGAGACAGACUGUGACAUCUUUUCUGAAAUGUUUAUGGGUAGGUGGUUAAUCUGGAAUUUUGGGCUAGGUGUGAUCUCACCCCGUGUCUUGGAGAUUUAUUGAGUGUCCUCCAGAGGUCCCUGACAAUGAAGAAGUUGAAUGAGCCUGCAAAUCUGUGAAACAAUGGAGUUUCCAGCACUUCCAUGAUGAAGUUGGCUUCUGAUGCUGAUUAAACUCAUUUCCCCUAAAGAAUUUAACUUGUCUGAAAUUUGAUAUGCUACUUCAAACUACCCAUAUGUUAAUUGUAAUUUUUCAAAUUUUUUGAACAUUCUUCACGUGUACUUUCCUGAUUAAGUGAUAUUUCCAUUUUCUAUUUUUUUAAUUGGAAGAAAAUUAAAGAGUAAGACAAGUGGACUCCAUUCUUGCUGG